GUGAGCCUAGUGAUAGGAGACUAUCUAGCUUGGUUCGGAGAGCACUUGUUGGGUUUCAGAUUCAUUUUUU
Molecule: non-coding RNA, 70 nt
Organism: Triticum aestivum (bread wheat)
Lineage: Eukaryota; Viridiplantae; Streptophyta; Magnoliopsida; Poales; Poaceae
Source: Rfam